RNAcentral lists this ribosomal RNA (439 nucleotides) under uncultured bacterium. Its description in RNAcentral is "partial 16S ribosomal RNA". It matches the Rfam family "Bacterial small subunit ribosomal RNA", at positions 339 to 795 of the family's 1533-position model. The record is from RNAcentral.
CUACGGGUGGCUGCAGUGAGGAAUAUUGCACAAUGGGGGAAACCCUGAUGCAGCAACGCCGCGUGGAGGAUGACGCAUUUCGGUGUGUAAACUCCUUUUAUCAGAGAAGAAAAUGACGGUAUCUGAUGAAUAAACUCCGGCUAACUCCGUGCCAGCAGCCGCGGUAAUACGGAGGGAGCAAGCGUUAUUCGGAAUCACUGGGCGUAAAGGACGCGUAGGCGGGUUGUUAAGUCAGGUGUGAAAUCCUAUGGCUCAACCAUAGAACUGCACUUGAAACUGGGGACCUAGAGUAUGGAAGGGGCAGGUGGAAUUAGUGGUGUAGGGGUAAAAUCCGUAGAUAUCACUAGGAAUACCGAAAGCGAAGGCGACCUGCUGGGACAUUACUGACGCUGAGGCGUGAAAGCGUGGGGAGCAAACAGGAUUAGAUACCCUGGUAGUC